CUAGCAAGCUUAAGCCGUAAGGCGGAGGCGCAGGGAAACCGAGUCUGAAUAGGGCGACUGAGUUAGACGGAUGAGACCCGAAAGCAAGUGAUCUAGCCAUGACCAGGUUGAAGGUGCGGUAACACGCACUGGAGGACCGAACCCACGCCUGUUGAAAAAGUCGGGGAUGAGUUGUGGCUAGGGGUGAAAGGCCAAUCAAACUUGCAGAUAGCUGGUUCUCUGCGAAAGCUAUUUAGGUAGCGCCUCGUGUAUCACCAUCGGGGGUAGAGCACUGGAUGGGCUAGGGGGCUUCACCGCUUACCAAACCUAACCAAACUCCGAAUACCAAAGAGUGCUGAGCACGGGAGACACACGGCGGGUGCUAACGUCCGUCGUGAAGAGGGAUAAAAACCCUGACCUACAGCUAAGGCCCCCAAUUCAUGGCUAAGUUGGAAAGGAUGUGAGGUUCCCAAAACAAUCAGGAUGUUGGCUUAGAAGCAGCCAUCAUUUAAAGAAAGCGUAACAGCUCACUGAUCUAAAUAAGGAACUUUGCGCCGAAGAUGUAACGGGGAUUAAGCCAUGAGCCGAAGCUUAGGAUUCACCGCAAGGUGAAUGGUAGCAGAGUGUUCUGUAUGCCUGCGAAGGGUGAGCGUGAGCGAGCCUGGAGGUAUCAGAAGUAAGAAUGCUGACAUGAGUAGCGAUAAAGAGGGUGAGAGACCCUCUCGCCGUAAGUCCAAGGGUUCCUGCGUCAAGUUAAUCUGCGCAGGGUUAGCCGGCCCCUAAGGCAAGGCCGAAAGGCGUAGUCGAUGGGAAUGCGGUAAAUAUUCCGCAGCCUGUGGGAAGUGACGGAUCUCGUAACUUGUUCGACCUUACUGGAUUGGUCGGGCCGGGAAGUGGUCCCAGGAAAUAGCUCCAGCUUAUAGCCCGUACCCGAAACCGACACAGGUGGACUGGCAGAGUAUGCUAAGGCGCUUGAGAGAACUGUAUUGAAGGAACUAGGCAAAUUGCCCUCGUAACUUCGGAAGAAGAGGGCCCGAUUCUUACGCAAGUAGGAGUCGGGGGCACAUAGCAGGGGGUGGCGACUGUUUACUAAAAACACAGGGCGCUGCGAAAUCCAAAGAUGACGUAUAGCGUCUGACGCCUGCCCGGUGCUGGAAGGUUAAGAGGAGAUGUGAAAGCGUUGAAUCGAAGCCCCAGUAAACGGCGGCCGUAACUAUAACGGUCCUAAGGUAGCGAAAUUCCUUGUCGGGU
Molecule: ribosomal RNA, 1230 nt
Filed under: soil metagenome
Description: bacterial LSU rRNA
Rfam family: Bacterial large subunit ribosomal RNA
Source: RNAcentral